UCCUACGGGAGGCAGCAGUGGGGAAUUUUGCGCAAUGGGGGAAACCCUGACGCAGCAACGCCGCGUGCGGGAUGACGGCCUUCGGGUUGUAAACCGCUUUCAGUAGGGACGAAUUUUGACGGUACCUACAGAAGAAGCCCCGGCUAACUACGUGCCAGCAGCCGCGGUAAUACGUAGGAUGCGAGCGUUAUCCGGAUUUAUUGGGUUUAAAGGGUGCGCAGGCGGUCUGUUAAGUCAGCGGUCAAAGCCUGGGGCUCAACCCCGGCCCGCCGUUGAAACUGGCAGUCUCG
This 290-nucleotide ribosomal RNA is filed under the name uncultured bacterium. RNAcentral describes it as "partial 16S ribosomal RNA". It matches the Rfam family "Bacterial small subunit ribosomal RNA", at positions 337 to 644 of the family's 1533-position model. The record is from RNAcentral.